This 72-nucleotide small RNA is filed under the name Pseudomonas moraviensis. Its description in RNAcentral is "sRNA P10". It matches the Rfam family "Pseudomonas sRNA P10". Lineage: Bacteria; Pseudomonadati; Pseudomonadota; Gammaproteobacteria; Pseudomonadales; Pseudomonadaceae. The record is from RNAcentral.
AGUGACCGAUCCGACGGCCUGCCCGUUGCCGGGGCAUGGCACCAACCCGAUUGUCAGUGGUUCGCCGAAUGU